UACGUAGGAUGCAAGCGUUGUCCGGAAUUAUUGGGCGUAAAGAGCGCGCAGGCGGUCAUUCAAGUCAGAUGUGAAAUAUCCGGGCUUAACCCGGAGGGGUCAUUUGAAACUGGGUGACUAGAGUACAGCAGAGGAUAGCGGAAUUCCCGGUGUAGUGGUGAAAUUCGUAGAUAUCGGGAGGAACACCGGUGGCGAAGGCGGCGGCCUGGGUUGACACUGACGCUGAGGCGCGAAAGCGUGGGGAGCAAACAGG
RNAcentral lists this ribosomal RNA (253 nucleotides) under uncultured bacterium. RNAcentral describes it as "partial 16S ribosomal RNA". It matches the Rfam family "Bacterial small subunit ribosomal RNA", at positions 524 to 776 of the family's 1533-position model. The record is from RNAcentral.